UACGGGGGGGGCAAGCGUUGUUCGGAAUUACUGGGCGUAAAGGGCUCGUAGGCGGCCAACUAAGUCGGACGUGAAAUCCCCAGGCUCAACCUGGGAACUGCGUCCGAUACUGGAUGGCUUGAAUUCGGGAGAGGGAUGCAGAAUUCCAGGUGUAGCGGUGAAAUGCGUAGAUAUCGGGAGGAACACCUGUGGCGAAAGCGGCUCACUGGACCACAACUGACGCUGAGGCGCGAAAGCUAGGGGAGCAAACAGG
This 253-nucleotide ribosomal RNA is filed under the name uncultured bacterium. Its description in RNAcentral is "partial 16S ribosomal RNA". It matches the Rfam family "Bacterial small subunit ribosomal RNA", at positions 524 to 776 of the family's 1533-position model. The record is from RNAcentral.